RNAcentral lists this ribosomal RNA (279 nucleotides) under uncultured bacterium. Its description in RNAcentral is "partial 16S ribosomal RNA". It matches the Rfam family "Bacterial small subunit ribosomal RNA", at positions 506 to 784 of the family's 1533-position model. The record is from RNAcentral.
UGCCAGCAGCCGCGGUAAUACGGAGGUGGCGAGCGUUACUCGGAAUUAUUGGGUGUAAAGGGCAAGUAGGCGGUCUAUUAAGUGAGGGGUGAAAUCUUCCGGCUCAAUCGGGAAACUGCCUUUCAAACUGAUAGACUUGAGAUUGGAAGAGGGAAACGGAAUUAGCAGUGUAAGGGUGAAAUCUGUAGAUAUUGCUAAGAACACCAGCGGCGAAGGCGGUUUCCUGGUCCAAAUCUGACGCUAAAUUGCGAAAGCUAGGGUAGCGAACGGAAUUAGAUA